Non-coding RNA from Gossypium hirsutum (cotton), 119 nucleotides. The record is from Rfam. Lineage: Eukaryota; Viridiplantae; Streptophyta; Magnoliopsida; Malvales; Malvaceae.
GGGUGCGAUCAAUCUUACACUAAUGCAUUGGGUCCCAUCAAAACUCCGCAAUUAAGCGCGCUUGGGCGAGAGUAGUACUAGGAUGGGUGAUCUCCUUGGAAGUCCUUGUGUUACACACC